CUUUUCACUGGUGAAAUGAAACAUGACUGUGAAUCAGAGGAAAGAAGAAAAUCCUAACAGAGUCUUCUAAUUCCUUUUGGAUAGCCAGGCCAUUUCUUUUGCCAGGAAGGCUUGCCCUCAUGCAUGUCCAUCCACAAAACCCAGAAAGCCAGAUCCAGUCAAUAAGGUGGACCAGAAGAUCAGGAGUCUUUGGGUUCUUGAAAGCCCAAGAGGAGUGCUUGCAGGAGAGCCCAGAAACACUGUGUUGGAAUCACACAGCACAUGUUCAAGGCAGGCAGGUGGCAGGUUCAAAGUGGAGAGAAGAAAUAGCUCCUUUAUGUAAUGCACAGUUAAGCUCUGGAGUACCUUUUCUCAGGAUUUAAUGGGUGCUGGAACUUCAUGUGAGUUUCAGAACUAAUCCAGUACAAUCCUGGAAGAAGCAAACAUCAGAAGCUACAUGAUGCAGCUCUGCUGCUGUAUUGUACAGGAAGUUCUUAAGCCAAAACUCUCUGGAGACUGGAAGAAUAUACAGGGCAGAAGUUUCUAUAUGAUAAUCCUGUUCUCUGCUCUUACAAAAGUACCACUGUUGGCCACUGUCAGAGAGAGGACUUGCUACACAGAAUGGAUGCCUCUGCUGUUGCUGGUUUUACAUAAUCUUACAUAAUGCAGGAUGUGACUAGAGUCUUCUAGGUUUACCUGCUUCCACACAGACAAACCCCACCUUCAGGAAAUAGAGGCUUUUCCUAAAGAGACUUUUAAUGACAUCAGCUUUUAAUGACACUGGAUCCCUAUAUCUCAUUCCAGAGAUGGGGCUUCCAUCUUCACCCAUUUAUCCUUUAUAUAAUUUUGGAUGAUCUUUGUGUCAUACCAGAGAUCAGGUCUUUAUUAUAAUGCAUGCUACAGUACCUUAUUUAAAAAAAAAAAAAAAAGAGGAGAAAAGGAGUUGUUCUUCAGAAGAACUAAUUGCUGAAAAAAGAAGAUAAACAGGACAAGAGACACAGCAGAACUGAGAGGGAGCACAAGUUGAGGAAAAGUUUGUCCCAUUGGAAUUGCUAAAAAACCAGUUCACAUCUCUCAACUCCCAAAUAAUGCCACAUAAACCUCACAUAAGCCAACUGGUCCAGUCCCAGGCUCAUUUUAAGCCCUACCUCAGAACACUACUUUUUUCUAUUUUAUUUAAAAGUGCUUACUGAUUUUAUAGCUGAGUGCUCUUUCCUCUGGUGAAAAGCAGUGCUGUCUGAUACAGGACAACAGCUCAGCUUUUGGUGGUGGUUAUUGCUCUGCAUUACUGUGACCAUUUUCUUCCCUUUUGCAAUGCCAUUAAGGACUGAAAGGGGUGAACAGUUAGAGGAUAAUACACCAUUAGGGACCAGCCCUAGCUGCACAAUACAUUUCAAGUACACCGAUAUUCACCUUCCAGUUUCAUCUGUAGUCCAUGCUCUGUAAAAGAAUACCAGCACUGAUGCAACUGAGGCUUGCCCAGACACAAAUUCUAUUGGAAGCAGUGACAUGAGCAGACCACCGUGAUUUUAGCAGAACCAGGAUUUCAUAUUCCAACUUCCCAAUAUGUUGUCUUGUGUCAUAUUUGAGCAUGGAACUUGAAUAACACCGUAUGACAUAAAAUACUCUGCAUACCAACAGAUUUGUGUUGGACUUGAUCUAGUCAUUCUGACUUCUUUAUUCAUAUGGUUGAGCUGUGCAAGGAAUAAAUAUCUCUGGUACCAGAUUUAGAAAGAGUGUAUUUUAUUGCAGACAAGAAGAUAUUAUCUGCUCUGGUGGCAGUAUGGGGGAUUGAUGGCAGUUUACAAAAUGCAGAAACUCGGUGUGUAUGUGUUAAUCUCUGAUAGGCUUAUCACUGUACUAAACUGCUUCCAUAAAUCGUAGGCUUAAUGCUGCUUUCAGGUACACCAACACACACCCAGUAACUCCUGGAGAAUUUUAAGAUAGAUAAAUUACAGCAAAAUUUGAUCCCUUGUAGUGUCAGUGUUUUUUUAAUGCUCAUCUUUUCAAUAGGUGGAACACAUAAACACUCGAGAUUGUCACUUACCAAAUUCAGCCUUGCUGGAAGGCAGCUGAAGAUACCCACUGAAUAUAGCUAGGAGGGGCAGAUUCCAUAAACCCAUUAUAUGGGGUGAUUUUAUGUGUCAUUCAUUGUGCCUGGGCUUGAGGUGUAUAUUUGCCUUGUUUUUACAGUAUAUGGCUGGUCAACUCAUAAUGCAUGUUGUACUCACAUUUGUGUAUAAAAUAUUAAGUUCACAGAGGAAAAAUAAGAACAGAAUUUACACUUCAUUCAUUUUUUCAUGUCUGCUGUUUCUGCACUCUCAAAAAUCAAAAUGCAUUUGUUGUAUCCUAAUCUACAUCAAGCUGUCCUGAAGGAACAUUCAUUAUUCUUUUAUUGUCAGCAAAACACAUUGAAACAAGGAUAUUAAACAUCUGGCCAACAUACAUUUAUGUGGCCCAAAUGGCAUAUUCAAGUUCUAAGAACGUAAGAAUUUCUUUGGAAACAAAAGUAGAUUUCCCUCUGACUUGGGAGAGAAGCUAUAAAAUAUGAGCUUGUAUAAAUAAAACAGUGUUCUCUACCUGAGACAAUGUGUAGCAUAAAAUAUUACCUGGGAAGUGCGAACUCCUGUCCUCUACCACUUAUCUCAUUUCAAGUCUAAUAGGGAACUUAGACUUUACUAGUUUGCUGCUAAGCCAGGGUGGUUGACAGAGAGACAAGCUUAGA
This 2704-nucleotide long non-coding RNA is filed under the name Taeniopygia guttata (zebra finch). RNAcentral describes it as "lncRNA (ENSTGUG00000019439.1)". The record is from RNAcentral. Lineage: Eukaryota; Metazoa; Chordata; Aves; Passeriformes; Estrildidae.